RNAcentral lists this ribosomal RNA (419 nucleotides) under Epyris sp. RNAcentral's name for it is "partial large subunit ribosomal RNA". Lineage: Eukaryota; Metazoa; Arthropoda; Insecta; Hymenoptera; Bethylidae. The record is from RNAcentral.
AACAUCUUUUUUUGAUAAUAAUAUUAAGUUGACUCUGCUCUAUGAUUAAUUUUAAAUGGCUGCAGUAUUCUAACUGUACAAAGGUAGCAUAAUAAUUUGUUUUUUAAAUGAAAACUGGAAUGAAUGAGGUGAUGAGAUAUUAACUUUAUUUAAUUAAAAGUUUUAAUUUUAUUUUUAAGUUAAAAAGCUUAAAUUUUUUUAUGGGACGAGAAGACCCUGUAGAAUUUUAUAUGAUUUUAAUUAUUUAAAAAGUAAUUAAUUAAUAUUUUUUUGGGAGGAAAAUUAAAAUUUAAGACUUUAAUUUAUUAUUUACAUAAAUAUAUGAAUUUUAGUGAUUUUAUUUGAUUAAGUUUAAGUUUAAAUUACCUCAGGGAUAACAGCGUAAUAUUUUUUGAAAGUUCUUAUUGAAAAAAAUGUUU